RNAcentral lists this ribosomal RNA (476 nucleotides) under uncultured bacterium. RNAcentral's name for it is "bacterial SSU rRNA". It matches the Rfam family "Bacterial small subunit ribosomal RNA", at positions 35 to 507 of the family's 1533-position model. The record is from RNAcentral.
AACGGCUGGCGGCGUGCCUAACACAUGCAAGUUGAGCGGGAAUGUAUCUUUAGAGAUUUCGAUUGACGAAGAUGCAGGAGAGCAGCGGACGGGUGAGUAACGCGUGAGCAAUCUGCCCUGUGAGGGGGAUAGCCUCCGGAAACGGAGAUUAAUACCGCAUAACACUGCACUGUCGCAUGAUAGAGCAGUCAAAACUCAGGUGCCACAGGAUGAGCUCGCGUCUCAUUAGCUAGUUGGUAGGGUAAAAGCCUACCAAGGCGACGAUGAGUAGCCGACCUGAGAGGGUGAUCGGCCACACUGGGACUGAGACACGGCCCAGACUCCUACGGGAGGCAGCAGUGGGGAAUAUUGCGCAAUGGGGGGAACCCUGACGCAGCAACGCCGCGUGAAUGAAGAAGGCUUUCGAGUCGUAAAAUUCUGUCCUCAGGGAAGAAGAAGUGACGGUACCUGAGGAGGAAGCCCCGGCUAACUACGUG